Molecule: non-coding RNA, 48 nt
Filed under: Trichobilharzia regenti
Lineage: Eukaryota; Metazoa; Platyhelminthes; Trematoda; Strigeidida; Schistosomatidae
Source: RNAcentral
AUCCAGACGAAGAGUCCAAAAUAGGACGAAGUACGUAUCUUACAGGAU